Long non-coding RNA from Gallus gallus (chicken), 2756 nucleotides. The record is from Ensembl. NCBI's taxonomy places the organism in Eukaryota, Metazoa, Chordata, Aves, Galliformes, Phasianidae.
AAGAAAGAAUCAUUAAGUGUCAUAACACGCCUAAUAUUGAAAUGUGAUGUGUUUCUUUUCUAUCAUUUCCAAAACAGAGUAAACUGAAAAAUGCUUGAUGACAACACAUUUAAAUAUGUAUAGGCUUUUCAGGCAUGUGUGCAGAAAUAACUGAUGACUUUGAUAUCAAUAACACUUUUCUAAAUAAGUAAAAGAAGUAGAAGAACUAAAAGAAGUCAAAGAAACGUAAAAUAAAUAUGUUUUUAUCCCUUUGAUUCCCUGAAUUUUCUGGGGAAUUCCAUAGUUCUGCUCGGCGUGGAGUGCUGAUUAAGGGAGAAGCUCUAAUUAUUCCUUGAAAAUGAAGUCAUAUCAUGUUGGAGCGUGAUCUCUUUCAUAACUUAUAAGUUUACCAAAUCAAAAACAUUAUGUCAUAGCAGGAGCUGGAUGGAAGACCUACUUAGUGGAAGCAGUAGUUUAGAUUGGAAAGAUGGCAUUCUUCCCUCUCAGCUACACGUGCCUCAUCUUUGUGCUGAGGAAGUGCAUCAUGUUAACUCUACCGAGCCCUUUUUCUGAUGCAGCUACAUGAACAUCAGCCUUCUUCCAUUCUGAAUAAUUACACUGACCUCGCUUCAGAAGGAUGUUAAGUUUGUCUCUGAAUUUCCCCUCUGAAUUUCCCUUCUGAUCUCUCUUUAUGGUUUCCAAAUACCUCCUUCCCUCCUCUCAGUCGCUGCUUCAUUGACUCAGUGACCUUCAAGCCAUAUGCUUGGAGGCUUUUCUUGACUGUUUCAUUGUUUACUUUGAUUUCACUACAUUAUUAACUGCUUUGCCAUGAGACUGGACUUUGCAUGGAACUUUCUCACUCCAUCCUUAUUUGUCUCUGCUUGUUUUGGGCUCUGCUUUGAUUAUUGGGCACUCACCCACUGUAUGUAGUUUAAUGAGAACAAGUGCUGGAUUCUGCACCUGGGAGGAGGAGACCCUGGCUAUAGGUACAUGCUGGGGGUCAAAAGGCUGAAGAGCAGCCCUGCAGAAAGGGAUCUGGGUGGAUCUGCUCUCUGUGACAGCGGCAGGGCCCAAGGGAAUGGCAUGGAGCUGUGUCAGGAGGGGAGAUGGGGGGCUAGGGAAAGGUUGUGUCCCAGAGGAUGGUGGGCAUGGAACAACCUGCCCAGGGCAGUGGGCACAGCCCUGAGCUGCCAGACCUCAGGGAGCACUGGGACAAUGCUCUCUGAUAUAGGGUUUGAAUUCUGGGCAUACAGUUGAUAAGAUCCAUGUGUGAAGUCACUUGACUUUCAGCUACCUGCUGCAGAGAGUAGGUCAGAGGAGAACAUCAGCAAGCUGUUGUGGAACAGCACAAUGAAAAGCAUGAGGGAGAUAUAUCAGAGGAACAGAUAACUGUUGUCAAAGUAAAUGAAGCUUCUUGACCCAAAUGAGAAGAAGGAGAGCUGGGAGUACCCCAGCUACAUGGAAGCUUUGUCUAUGAAGCCAAAUUAAACCCUGCAAGUAAGGUUUUUCAGAGCAUAUAUUUUUGCCUGAAGAGAAUGAAUGUCCACUGUCCCACAGCCUCUCUGUCAUGUUUACUAGCACAGACUGGAGGUUACGGGUCAGAAACCUUCAUUGCUCCUGUCACAGCCACUGCCACAUUACUGAACACAUCAGUGGCAAAUGGAAGACAAAACUGAUGUGCUGUUUUAUGUAAAGCUCAUUGCCUUGCACUAGAUGAGGGCCAUGUCUCUGAUGAGCUCAUCUUUUCUGUCUCUAAUAGCAGGAGAAACAUGCUGCUGAAAACACUCCCAUAAAUCUUUGUGCUGUUGUUGGGGAAUGAGAGCUGAUGUCAUGUUGGGCUGAAUGCUUUCAGUUACAUAAACAACAGGAGGGAGCCUUAUCUCAGGGCACAGAAUUGAAUUCAACCCUGACACUCGUAUUUGCAAUCCCAAGAAAGCCCAAGAAAGCCAUGCAUGAUCUGAGAUCCUCAAAAUGCAGUUUAAGAGUAUGUUGUCCUGGGAUUUGGUAGUGGGGAUGACUCUUAUUAAGUUGUCAGUGCUGCAGUUCAGUUUCUAUUGACUAAUUUGCUCUCUGUGUGGACGAGCAGUGUGUAUGAAGGAAGGGAUGUGGUGAAGACUCGGAGAAGGGGAGGCAGAGAUACUACAUAAAGCUCAGUGGGGGAUGAGUGCCUCUUCUCCACGUGCACUGUGAAUAACCUGGUAUCAGUGAUGCAGCUUAGUCCAAUACUGGCUUCAAAACAAGAUGCAUGUUCAGGCUUCUUAAAACAAUUUGAAAUGUUCUACAUCUUUCCCAUGUUAUUCUUUAGAAAGUAAAAAUAUUUGUUGCACCCAGCCUGGAGGUGUGUACAGUGUCUCUGCAGCUGGCUGCUCAGCGCGCUAUGGGAUGCAAAAUAACAGCUCCAGGAGCAGAUGGGAGGAGCUGCUUCCUCUAUUGUUUUUGACUGUUCUGAAAAUAGCUGCCGCAAGCUGUGCAUCCCCACGGGAGGCAUUUCCUCCUACACACUGUUCACUCGUGCACACUUCUGUGGCAACACACGUUAGGCUGGGAGACUCAAAGUUCAGCUUGUAAAAGCCUUCUGAAAUGAAGAUCCUCCUUGAAGUCCCCUGGUAAGCCUCAGUGCCCACAAGGCGUGAGUGCAAGGUCACCUCGGCUCCUCACUCCUGAGCAACAGGCAUGAAGGGCAAAGUCCUACCACUCCUCCUGGGGAUCUUGGUGUUCCCCAUUAUGGCUAAGAUUCUGAGGACUCCAUUAGAACCUUUAAAUUAAAUGUAUUUUUC